This 374-nucleotide ribosomal RNA is filed under the name uncultured organism. RNAcentral describes it as "partial 16S ribosomal RNA". It matches the Rfam family "Bacterial small subunit ribosomal RNA", at positions 527 to 896 of the family's 1533-position model. The record is from RNAcentral.
GUAGGUGGCAAGCGUUGUCCGGAAUUAUUGGGCGUAAAGCGCGCGCAGGCGGUUUUUUAAAGUCUGAUGUGAAAGCCCACGGCUCAACCGUGGAGGGUCAUUGGAAACUGGAGAACUUGAGUACAGAAGAGGAAAGCGGAAUUCCACGUGUAGCGGUGAAAUGCGUAGAGAUGUGGAGGAACACCAGUGGCGAAGGCGGCUUUCUGGUCUGUAACUGACGCUGAGGCGCGAAAGCGUGGGGAGCAAACAGGGAUUAGAUACCCUGGUAGUCCACGCCGUAAACGAUGAGUGCUAAGUGUUAGGGGGUUUCCCGCCCCUUAGUGCUGCAGCUAACGCAUUAAGCACUCCGCCUGGGGAGUACGGCCGCAAGGCUG